AUAUUGUUAAGACGUGGAUUGCACGUGUGUACAUACUAGUAGGAAUCAACCCGCAGUCCACCGUACCUGGACCGUAAGUGAAAAAAAAAACGUUUCAUAUGAUUGUUGCCCCGCACGAGAAGACGAGGGUUCCUCUGCCGCCGCCGCCGCGCCCACAUCUUCUUAUCCCCGGUGCUCGUCCUCUCCCCGCCGUCGCCGAAUCCGGAUGAGAUCGGCAGGAUCGGCUGCAUCUCGCGCGACGCCCGGCCACUGUGCUCGGGGAGAAGGGAGAAAGUAGGAGCGGUGCUGCGACCUAGGCAGCAACUCGCCAAGCCGGGCGGUGGCAAACGAGAGCCUCAGCGGUUGGCCGUCGAAGCAGAGGAAGAGAGGAGCUCCAGCCGGAUGCGAGCGGAGGACACCGAUGGCUCUCGGCGGCCAUCGACGGGAACUUGAAUGCCCCAGCCCCCAAAGCUCGCCUCAUCUUCUACCGGCAACAGGGGACGGCUUCCCUCCUGGCACCCGUAGGCAGCCUCGGCUCACCGCCGUCGGGAUCUGGCCAACACCGGCUCCUAGCGUUGCAUCCAUCAGUCCCGGAUCUCGCCACUGCAGGAUGCGGGGAAGAGGAUGAGGUACGGCAUGCAACAACGAAAGAAGGUGCAGAGCCAGCGACUGGAUUUUUUUUGGUUAAAGAAGGUACAGGGCAACGACUGUAUUUAGAUCAUAAUAGGAUCGGUUCGCAUUGGUGGCGCAGUAGUGCUGCGUAGGCAGCUGCUACCAAUCUUCACCAUGCUGGAUGAAGCCGUCAAGGUGAGAUGAUCGAUUUCUUGUUGUCCACUGUCCCCUAUUUAAGAUUACUGACCUGGUUCCUCUUAUUUCUCUUGUUGAUGCAAACCUGCUCACUUCACAAGCCGCGCUCACAACUUCCAACGUAGAUUUCGUGGCUGGCAUGCUUAUCUUAUUUUCCUUUCUGGAUCAGGGAACAAAUUGCUCGAUCAUAAUAGUUUGUUCUUCUUUCUGUUCCAGGAAAGCACCGGAAAGAGAUGUUUCUAUGCAGCAUAACCCAAAAGUUUAAUUUGAGGAAUUCCAUCAAGCGUAUGUUCUAUAGCCUCCAUCCUGUAGUUUAUUUCCUUUGUUUCAGGUUGUACAGAGGAGCUCAGCGACAACUGAGGUGCUGCUAGAAUUACAUCAGCUACUAACUUACGUUAAUUUAAUCAAUUCCAUUGGCGUACUUUAGGAACGAGGCUGUAUUGGGUGGUCUCUGACCGCCUGACAGACAAUACAGAGUCGCCGUAGUUGGGUUGUGUUCAUGUAACACUGAAACUUGACAUAGUUAGUAUAAGAAGGUUUGGUUUACUUCCACUAUGUUACUGUUCAAUCUAUUUUAUAAACAUGUUGAUUAGCCAUUCUGGCAAAGAUGCAUCUUCAAUAUUUCAGAAAUCUCUUUUCCAGAAACUCCAAUUCUGCUCAUAGGAAUUGCGAUGCCCAAUAUUUCUCAAUUUGCUGACAAGGCUGUAAUAUAUGUAUGCCUUACGCAUGCCGAUCCAUUGGAAGAGUAUUUUCAAGGAUUCUGCUGCUUACUAAUUUUUUACAUCCAUUGAACAAACUAAGCGGUAGGGUGAUUGUUCCCUCUCAUUAGAACUAAAACAUAUCUUCGUAUUUUUAUAAGGUAUUUCUCCCCAAAAUCUUACCCAAACGAUUCCCAUGAAGUAAUAUAUUUCGAUAUGUUUUUAAACUUCUAAUUAUGUACAGUACAUUAUUGUUGUGGUGUUGAUCAUAUCAACCACGAAACAAGGUUUAUAUUUGUUUGAGUUUUUAUUCUCUAAUGAUAUAGCAUCCACGGGACCCGAGCACAAUGCUAAUUCAUAGAAAGCAUCUCUUGCUUGCGUUAAUUUGGCCUAGAGUGCUACAUCGUGGCCGGCGGGGCUUAACGGGCCCGCUUCGGGCCUGGCUGGGCCAGGGGUGGCCCAGCAUGCCCCGCGGGCAUGUCCGGACGGCUACCGCGACGGUGCCGGAGGCAUGGGCCUCCCGCACGACGGCGGUGGAGGUGGUUCCCUCCCGCUCGGCGUCGGUGUCGCGGCUCCCGUCGUGGUGCGCUUUUCUCCGGUCCUCUUGGCCUCGUGGUGGUGUUCGUAGUGAGGCGGCGUUGGUGGCGGCGCUACUGCGUUGGCGCAUGGGGGUGGGCGACGGUUUGGCGGGUCGGUUCCAUCCGGUUGGGCAGUUGGGUCUGGGAAUGCGGGAGAAAUCCCUGCCGGCUUCGGCCCCGAGGCGGUGACACCUGCGGGUGCCACCAUUCCUUCCUGGAGGGUGUCGGUGGUAUUCACCCCCACCUCCCUCUGCGUGCCAGGGGAAACCCUAGGACUCGUCCGGGUAGCAGCGUCGUCGGCGUCGCAUUCCUUCUUGGAGGUGCUGCUUGGUACGCGGCGGUUCGGAACCUCGGUCUGUGGUGGUUUGUAUCCGGUGGGCGCCGCGGUGGCGGGUCAUCCGCGCUUUGCCGAGCUGCUGUGGUUGGCAUUUGUUUCUUCUUCCUUUUCUUUUGGUGUGUUGUGCUGCUCGCCACAGCGAUCUUUGUACUCGGUGUUGGUUGCUUUGGAAUACAAAGCGGGGGGAAACCCUUUUUCGGUAAUUUGGCCUAGAGUUCUAUGUUUA
Non-coding RNA from Aegilops tauschii subsp. strangulata, 2625 nucleotides. Lineage: Eukaryota; Viridiplantae; Streptophyta; Magnoliopsida; Poales; Poaceae. The record is from RefSeq and is a predicted model, not a curated record.